RNAcentral lists this ribosomal RNA (253 nucleotides) under uncultured bacterium. Its description in RNAcentral is "partial 16S ribosomal RNA". It matches the Rfam family "Bacterial small subunit ribosomal RNA", at positions 524 to 776 of the family's 1533-position model. The record is from RNAcentral.
UACGUAUGGUGCAAGCGUUAUCCAGAUUUACUGGGUGUAAAGGGAGCGCAGGCGGCACGGCAAGCCUGAUGUGAAAGCCCGCGGCCCAACCGCGGGACUGCAUUGGGAACUACCGGGCUGGAGUGCCGGAGAGGUAGGCGGAAUUCCUAGUGUAGCGGUGAAAUGCGUAGAUAUUAGGAGGAACACCAGUGGCGAAGGCGGCCUACUGGACGGUGACUGACGCUGAGGCUCGAAAGCGUGGGGAGCAAACAGG